RNAcentral lists this long non-coding RNA (1039 nucleotides) under Homo sapiens (human). Its description in RNAcentral is "HSALNT0347270". The record is from RNAcentral. Lineage: Eukaryota; Metazoa; Chordata; Mammalia; Primates; Hominidae.
UCUGCCUAUAGAGGCCUGGGGUCCCUUUGGCAGCACUUUUCUCAAGAAAGUAGAGUCGUGGACAACCAACUGCACAGGUUGGGAGGCUUUGAAGAACAAGCUGCCAUGAAUCCUGCAGCUACAAGGAAAUGAACUCUAUUAACUUGAGUGAGCUUAAAACUAGAUCCUUCCCCAGUCAAGCCUCCAGGUGAGAAUUCAAUCCUGGCUGGCACCUGGAUUGCAGCUUACAGAAGACCCAGCUAAGGCCAUGUCUGGACUUUAAAUCCACAGGAACUGCAAGAUGGUAUCAGAAGUGGGACCUGCAGUGGGGCAUCUAGCAACCCCCAGGAGCAUUGAGUGACCAGGCUUGGGACCCACCGGGCGCAGGGUGUCCAUUGUUCUCUCGAAGCAACUGAGAAUUGUGGGACCCAUGAAGGAGCAUCAAGCUCAGCCUCAGAUAUUCUUCAUUAUUCCAUCAUCAUCUCAAACCUCUUGGGUAUAGUGUUUGACUACUACUGUGACCAUAAAUUCCAAUAAAACCUAGGAAAAAUGAAACCACUACAUUAACUGAAAGGGAAGGAUUUGACAGCUUCUUUUGGGCAUAUCAGAAUCGCCAGCAUCACUACUCUUGCACUGUGCGGCCAUUAUUAAGUGAAAUAAGGAUUACUUGAACACAAGCACUGCAAUGCCGCUACAGUCAAUGUGAUAACCCAGCUGGUGACUAAGUGACCAAGGACGGGGAGUAUCUACAGCGGGGAGACUCUGGAAAAAGGGAGGAUUCACAUCCAGUGCCACUGGGGCAGGGCAGAAUGAGAGUUCAUCAUGCUACAAAGAAUGGCACAGAAUAUACGACUUGUGAGUGGAUUAUCUCUGGAAUUUUCUGUUGACUACAUUUGUACUACAGUUGUAUGUGGGUAACAAACUGUGGAAAGUGAAACUUCGGGUAAGGGGGAGGCUACCGUAGAUAGCCCAGUAUUUCUUAUUUUGUGGAUUUGUUUAUCUUUCUGCUCACAUCCUUUUCCUUCUGCAUUACCAUUUUAGUAAAAAUAGAUAGCAUCCA